GGAGACAUAGCAGCAAUCCAAGUCCAAUAAUAGAGUUUGAAGGCAACCGUGAAUUGGUCUGAAUUUUCUGACACUUGAGGUCUGAACAAAAAGGGAUGACGCACAUUCAUGCUGUGAUGCUGGUUGCUGCUGCUUCAAAGUAAGUAGCUCAUCUUGAUACCCUGAUACCUCGCCUUGCAUCUGCCUAACUGGCGCGUAAUCGCUCCGGCAUCUUGUCCAGGGUCUCGACAGGACCAUUCCCGGCAACAGAAGAAAUGUUUUGUGCAUCUAGUGUCGCCUGCUGAAAAGACCAGGGUUGGAUAGGAAUACAGGCAUGUUCCAUCUUUGUUACAAACGAACAUCCCGUUACUUUUGCCAUCACAAUGAUUUCAGCCUUGUAAGUACAACUCUGUUUCAAAUUUAAAUUUAGAAGGUCGAUCAUGUUCAUAUACGCUGCAUCUCAGGAACAGAUUCAAGUUACAGCCAUUACAAACUGGAAACUGCCAAUCAUGCCUGCACUGGUAACACAUGAUGAUUUCACAACCGAGCUGAAUGAGUUAGAUGCAUUAUGUCAAUCCAAUCCUAAAACAAUUUCUGCCUUGCUGGCCAUUAAGAACUUGCUUGCAGCCAUGCACGACGGAGUUCGCGCGUAUCCACCAUGAAAACGACCUGUCCCGAUUCAUUCAAUCACCAUCAAUCCCUGUCGUCUUCGUCUUCAUCCAGCGAAUUCGACCGCCUCCGCCAGCUCAGCACGCGCCCGAUCCGCGGCAGCCUCAUCACCGAGUUGGCCCGCGCCACCCCCUCCAGGGCUCUCCACACCGUCGUCCCUUCCUCCG
RNAcentral lists this long non-coding RNA (815 nucleotides) under Setaria italica (foxtail millet). RNAcentral describes it as "long non-coding RNA (SITA_LNC005558)". The record is from RNAcentral. Lineage: Eukaryota; Viridiplantae; Streptophyta; Magnoliopsida; Poales; Poaceae.